Molecule: ribosomal RNA, 165 nt
Filed under: Philenoptera violacea
Lineage: Eukaryota; Viridiplantae; Streptophyta; Magnoliopsida; Fabales; Fabaceae
Description: 5.8S ribosomal RNA
Rfam family: 5.8S ribosomal RNA
About the family: 5.8S ribosomal RNA (5.8S rRNA) is a component of the large subunit of the eukaryotic ribosome. It is transcribed by RNA polymerase I as part of the 45S precursor that also contains 18S and 28S rRNA. Functionally, it is thought that 5.8S rRNA may be involved in ribosome translocation.
Source: RNAcentral
AAACAAAUGACUCUCGGCAACGGAUAUCUCGGCUCUUGCAUCGAUGAAGAACGUAGCGAAAUGCGAUACUUGGUGUGAAUUGCAGAAUCCCGUGAACCAUCGAGUCUUUGAACGCAAGUUGCGCCCGAAGCCAUUAGGCCGAGGGCACGCCUGCCUGGGUGUCAC